RNAcentral lists this long non-coding RNA (211 nucleotides) under Chinchilla lanigera (long-tailed chinchilla). RNAcentral describes it as "lncRNA (ENSCLAG00000022261.1)". Lineage: Eukaryota; Metazoa; Chordata; Mammalia; Rodentia; Chinchillidae. The record is from RNAcentral.
GCUUUACCAUUCCACAGGGCUGAUGAGCUCCACAUAUCGAUUGAGACUCGAACGUUUUGGGAGAAUAUUUUCACAUUUUAUGUGAGUCUGCUUGUUUCCUGGAAUUCACUCCAGAUCUUCAUUCGAUCUUGAGGUGUCCAGGGUAAGAGACCCUAAAUGUAAUAAGCCUGCUGCGGCUGGAACACAUGGCUCAAACAUUGGCCUAAACAAG